UACGUAGGUGGCAAGCGUUGUCCGGAAUUAUUGGGCGUAAAGCGCGCGCAGGCGGCCUUUUAAGUCUGAUGUGAAAGCCCACGGCUCAACCGUGGAAGGUCAUUGGAAACUGAAAGGCUUGAGUACAGAAGAGGAAAGCGGAAUUCCACGUGUAGCGGUGAAAUGCGUAGAGAUGUGGAGGAACACCAGUGGCGAAGGCGGCUUUCUGGUCUGUAACUGACGCUGAGGCGCGAAAGCGUAGGGAGCAAACAGG
RNAcentral lists this ribosomal RNA (253 nucleotides) under uncultured bacterium. RNAcentral describes it as "partial 16S ribosomal RNA". It matches the Rfam family "Bacterial small subunit ribosomal RNA", at positions 524 to 776 of the family's 1533-position model. The record is from RNAcentral.